GGUCAAGCUACUAAGGGCACACGGUGGAUGCCUUGGCACCAGGAGCCGAUGAAGGACGUGGGAUGGCUGCGAUAAGCCUCGGGGAGCCGCCGACCAGGCUGUGAUCCGAGGAUCUCCGAAUGGGGAAACCCGGCUGGGGUCAUGCCCAGUCACCCUCGCCUGAACCCAUAGGGCGAGUGGAGGGAACGCGGGGAAGUGAAACAUCUCAGUACCCGCAGGAAGAGAAAGCAACCGCGAUUCCGUGAGUAGUGGCGAGCGAAAGCGGAACAGGCCAAACCCGCCACGUGGAGAAGCCGGCGGGCGUUGCGUGGCGGGGGUAGCGGGACCGUCCAGCCGGAUCCGCCGGUCCGGCAGGAGGCCAGCGCCGUUAGCCGAAGGUUCCUGGAACGGACCGCCGUAGACGGUGAGAGCCCGGUAGGCGAAAACGGUGGCAGCCUCCGGACGGGAUCCCAAGUAGCACGGGGCCCGAGGAAUCCCGUGUGAAUCCGCCAGGACCACCUGGUAAGCCUAAAUACUCCCUGGUGACCGAUAGUGGACCAGUACCGUGAGGGAAAGGUGAAAAGUACCCCGGGAGGGGAGUGAAAGAGUACCUGAAACCGUGUGCCUACAAACCGUCGGAGCCUGGCGUCCCUCGUGGACCGCUGGGUGACGGCGUGCCUUUUGAAGAAUGAGCCCGCGAGUUCGUGGCACGUGGCGAGGUUAACCCGUGAGGGGUAGCCGUAGCGAAAGCGAGUCCGAACAGGGCGUCGAGUCGCGUGCCCGAGACCCGAAGCCGAGUGAUCUACCCAUGGGCAGGGUGAAGCGCGGGUAAGACCGCGUGGAGGCCCGAACCCACCAGGGUUGAAAACCUGGGGGAUGACCUGUGGGUAGGGGUGAAAGGCCAAUCAAACUCGGUGAUAGCUGGUUCUCCCCGAAAUGCAUUUCGGUGCAGCGUCGCGCGUUUCUUGCCGGAGGUAGAGCACUGGAUGGCCUAGGGGGCCCACCAGCCUACCGAAGUCAACCAAACUCCGAAUUCCGGUAAGUCAGAGCGCGGCAGUGAGACCGCGGGGGAUAAGCUCCGUGGUCGAGAGGGAAACAGCCCAGACCACCGGCUAAGGCCCCUAAGCGUGCGCUAAGUGGUAAAGGAUGUGGAGUCGCAGAGACAACCAGGAGGUUGGCUUAGAAGCAGCCACCCUUUAAAGAGUGCGUAAUAGCUCACUGGUCGAGUGAUUCCGCGCCGACAAUGUAACGGGGCUCAAGCGCACCGCCGAAGCCGUGGCAUCGGCGCAUCCGCUCGGCGGCUUCCUUCGGGAGGCCGUCCAGGCGCGCCGAUGGGUAGGGGAGCUUCGUGUGGCGGGUGAAGCGGCGGGGUGACCCAGCCGUGGACGCCACGCGAGUGAGAAUGCGGGCACGAGUAGCGAGAGACGGGUGAGAAUCCCGUCCGCCGGAAGACCAAGGGUUCCAGGGCCAGGCUCAUCCGCCCUGGGUAAGUCGGGACCUAAGGCGAGGCCGCGAGGCGUAGCCGAUGGACAACGGGUUGAUAUUCCCGUACCCGUCACGGUGCGCCCAUCCCGAACCCGGAGAUGCUCACCGCCCCGAAUCCGCGGCUCCCCACGGGGAGUCCGUGGAGGAGGCGCGGGACCCGAUCCGGUAGUAGGGAAGCGACGGGGUGACGCGGUGGGGUAGCCCAUCCCGGGCGGUGGUAGUCCCGGGGUAAGGCGGUAGGCCGGCGCCCAGGCAAAUCCGGGCGCCACACAAGGCCGAGACCCGAUGCCGACCCGUAUGCGGGGAAGUGGGUGACCCCCGCCGCCGAGAAAAGCCUCUAGCGAGUGCCGUGGCGGCCCGUACCCCAAACCGACGCAGGUGGUCAGGUAGAGAAUACCGAGGCGAUCGGGCGAACCGUGGUUAAGGAACUAGGCAAAUUGCCCCCGUAACUUCGGGAGAAGGGGGGCCGGGCGGGGUGUACGCCCUUGCGGCGGAAGCUCUGCUCGGCCGCAGAGACCAGGCCCAAGCGACUGUUUACUAAAAACACAGGUCCGUGCCAAGCCGUAAGGCGCAGUAUACGGACUGACGCCUGCCCGGUGCCGGAACGUUAAGGGGACGGGUUAGCCGCCCUUCGGGGCGGCGAAGCUCAGAACCUAAGCGCCGGUAAACGGCGGUGGUAACUAUAACCAUCCUAAGGUAGCGAAAUUCCUUGUCGGGUAAGUUCCGACCUGCACGAAUGGCGUAACGACUUGGGCACUGUCUCAACCACGGGCCCGGCGAAACUGCACUGCGAGUGAAGAUGCUCGCUACGCGCGGCAGGACGGAAAGACCCCGGGACCUUUACUACAGCUUGGUAUUGGUGCUUGGUUCGGCUUGUGUAGGAUAGGUGGGAGCCUGCGAAGCCGGGACGCCAGUUCCGGUGGAGGCAUCGGUGAAAUACCACUCUGGUCGGAUCGGGCAUCUAACCCGGGUCCCUGAUCGGGAUCGGGGACAGUGCCUGGCGGGUAGUUUAACUGGGGCGGUUGCCUCCUAAAAGGUAACGGAGGCGCCCAAAGGUCCCCUCAGCCUGGUCGGAAACCAGGUGUGGAGUGCAAGGGCACAAGGGGGCUUGACUGUGAGACCGACGGGUCGAGCAGGAGCGAAAGCUGGGCCUAGUGAUCCGGCGGUGGCACGUGGAAGCGCCGUCGCUCAACGGAUAAAAGGUACCCCGGGGAUAACAGGCUGAUCCUGCCCAAGAGUCCAAAUCGACGGCAGGGUUUGGCACCUCGAUGUCGGCUCGUCGCAUCCUGGGGCUGGAGUCGGUCCCAAGGGUUGGGCUGUUCGCCCAUUAAAGCGGUACGCGAGCUGGGUUUAGAACGUCGUGAGACAGUUCGGUCCCUAUCCGCCGCGCGCGUAGGAGACUUGAGGGAGGCCGUCCCUAGUACGAGAGGACCGGGACGGGCGGACCUCUGGUGUGCCAGUUGUCCCGCCAGGGGCACGGCUGGUUAGCCACGUCCGUACGGGAUAACCGCUGAAAGCAUCUAAGCGGGAAGCCCUGCCCAAGAUGAGGUCUCCCACCGGGUCAACCGGGUAAGGCCCCCAGGUAGACGACUGGGUUGAUAGGCCGGACGUGUAAGCCUGGUAACAGGUUCAGCGGACCGGUACUAAUCGGCCGAGGGCUUGACCCC
The sequence is a ribosomal RNA, 3131 nucleotides long. It matches the Rfam family "Bacterial large subunit ribosomal RNA". The record is from Rfam.